UACGGAGGGUGCAAGCGUUAUCCGGAUUCACUGGGUUUAAAGGGUGCGUAGGAGGGCAGGUAAGUCAGUGGUGAAAUCUCCGAGCUUAACUCGGAAACUGCCGUUGAUACUAUCUGUCUUGAAUACCGUGGAGGUGAGCGGAAUAUGUCAUGUAGCGGUGAAAUGCUUAGAUAUGACAUAGAACACCAAUUGCGAAGGCAGCUCACUACACGAGCAUUGACUCUGAGGCACGAAAGCGUGGGGAUCAAACAGG
Molecule: ribosomal RNA, 253 nt
Filed under: uncultured bacterium
Lineage: Bacteria
Also listed under: 2 other names
Description: partial 16S ribosomal RNA
Rfam family: Bacterial small subunit ribosomal RNA
Source: RNAcentral